CUGCAGGUUACAAGAAAGAAGGCAGGCUCUGGGCUGCGACAGCACUUGAGUUCUUUCUGAUAAAGGCAUAGAGCUGGCCAUCCAGAGACCCGAAGAGCAUAUGUCUGAAUUCC
Molecule: long non-coding RNA, 113 nt
Organism: Leopardus geoffroyi (Geoffroy's cat)
Lineage: Eukaryota; Metazoa; Chordata; Mammalia; Carnivora; Felidae
Exons: 3
Source: RefSeq, a predicted model, not a curated record